This is a long non-coding RNA of Panicum hallii, 356 nucleotides long. RefSeq lists it as uncharacterized. NCBI's taxonomy places the organism in Eukaryota, Viridiplantae, Streptophyta, Magnoliopsida, Poales, Poaceae. The record is from RefSeq and is a predicted model, not a curated record. The transcript is spliced from 3 exons.
GAUGAUCUUAUGGAAACAGAAUGUGGUACCCGAAAAAGUCCUGAACACUCAAGUGGUAAUGGCUACUCUCCAUCAAUUGAUGUACAGCAAGCACCUGUCCAGAUAAAUAAUGGAGCCACUAAGGACCACGCAUCUUUAUCAAAUGAGCAGACAAUUGCGAAGGCAAGAAAAAGCUACGAGUUCAAAUCAUACCUGAACCAACUUGGAAAGAAGUUCAAGCCGUGAGUGGAAAGGAGAAAUAAGGGGCACAAAAAGAUAUAUUUUAGUUGUUAGAGAAAAAUCCUAGAAAUAUUUGUAUGAUACUGCUACUUUCUAUGUUUCUGUAAGAACAAAUUCGUCUUGUUCAAUAUACUUUA